AGGUUCUGCUUAUCCUCUCUUUAAGUCUGGGCCCGCGAUUUUUCUCUCUCCACUCAGAGGAGUCUCCACCAUUGUGGCCCGGCCCCCUCACUUCGCCCUUUACGACCGAGCCUGCUUCUUUAAAUAGCUUGGACGGUUCUUUUUCUCUGCCCCGCCCCAUCCUUUUUUCAUUUUAAUCGAUCUUUCUUAUAUCUAACCCCGCCUCUUCGGUUUUCUGUGCUGCCAACCCAGCCAACUUUAGAGGUGUAUCCCACCUCCUGCAACACCUCGCCCAGCCCCUGUUCUCGGAAAGAUCCAAUCGUUGUGUUUUAUCUGCUGCCCCACCCCACUACGCUGGCCCGGUUAGAGUCCCCGCCCUUCUCUCUCUGCUUCAACUCCGCCCCACUAUCCCUUAGACCAGUCACUUCGGUUAAUCUCCAAUUUAGGCCCCGCCCUCGUAUUUAUUGCCUUUCCCCACCCAAUCUCGUUUGUCUCUCCCCUGAGGCCCCGCCCCCAAGGCCCCGCCCCUACAGCCCCGCCCCCCCGGCCAAUGUUGAGCUCAGUCUGCGUCUCCUCCUUCCGCCGGCGCCAGGGGGCCAGCAAGCAGCAGCCUGCACUGCCGCCGCAGCCUCCCGACACCCCGCCGCCGCCAGCGCCGCCGCUGCAGCAGCAGCAGCAGCCUGCGCAGCCCGGCCCUGCCGCGUCCCCGGCGGGCCCCCCGGCAUCCCACGGGCCCGGGGACCGGCGCGCCGAGCCAUGCCCCGGGCUGCCGGCGGCGGCCAUGGGGAGGCACGGCGGCGGCGGUGGCGACAGCGGCAAGAUCGUGAUCAACGUGGGCGGCGUGCGCCAUGAGACGUACCGCUCGACGCUGCGCACCCUGCCGGGUACGCGUCUGGCCGGUCUGACGGAGCCUGAGGCGGCGGCGCGCUUCGACUACGACCCCGGCACCGACGAGUUCUUCUUCGACCGGCACCCGGGCGUCUUCGCCUACGUGCUCAACUACUACCGCACGGGCAAGCUGCACUGCCCGGCCGACGUGUGCGGGCCGCUCUUCGAGGAGGAGCUCGGCUUCUGGGGCAUCGACGAGACCGACGUGGAAGCCUGCUGCUGGAUGACCUACCGACAGCACCGCGAUGCUGAGGAAGCACUCGACUCCUUCGAGGCGCCCGACUCUUCGGGCGCCGCCAACGCUGCCAACGCCGGGGGCGCCCACGACGCGGGCCUGGACGACGAGGCGGGCGCGGGCGGCGGUGGCCUGGACGGCGCAGGCGGCGAGCUCAAGCGCCUCUGCUUCCAGGACGCGGGCGGCGGUGCUGGGGGGCCGCCAGGGGGCGCGGGCGGCGCGGGCGGCACGUGGUGGCGCCGCUGGCAGCCUCGAGUGUGGGCGCUCUUCGAGGACCCCUACUCGUCGCGGGCAGCCAGGUAUGUGGCCUUCGCCUCCCUCUUCUUCAUCCUCAUCUCCAUCACCACCUUCUGCCUGGAGACCCACGAGGGCUUCAUCCACAUCAGCAACAAGACGGUGACGCAGGCCUCCCCGAUCCCCGGGGCCCCACCAGAGAACAUCACCAACGUGGAGGUGGAGACGGAGCCCUUCCUGACUUACGUGGAGGGUGUGUGCGUGGUCUGGUUCACCUUUGAGUUCCUCAUGCGCAUCACUUUCUGCCCGGACAAGGUGGAGUUUCUCAAGAGCAGCCUCAACAUCAUCGACUGUGUGGCCAUCCUGCCCUUCUAUCUUGAGGUGGGCCUCUCCGGCCUCAGCUCCAAGGCCGCCAAGGAUGUGCUGGGCUUCCUGCGGGUCGUCCGCUUCGUGCGCAUCCUGCGCAUCUUCAAGCUCACGCGCCACUUUGUGGGGCUGCGCGUGCUGGGCCACACGCUCCGUGCCAGCACCAACGAGUUCCUGCUGCUCAUCAUCUUCCUGGCGCUGGGCGUGCUCAUCUUUGCCACCAUGAUCUACUACGCCGAGCGCAUUGGCGCCGACCCAGAUGACAUUCUGGGCUCCAACCACACCUACUUCAAGAACAUCCCCAUCGGCUUCUGGUGGGCCGUGGUCACCAUGACCACCCUGGGCUAUGGAGACAUGUACCCCAAGACGUGGUCGGGGAUGCUGGUCGGGGCGCUUUGUGCCCUGGCCGGGGUGCUCACCAUCGCCAUGCCCGUGCCUGUCAUCGUCAACAACUUUGGCAUGUACUAUUCGCUGGCCAUGGCCAAGCAGAAGCUGCCCAAGAAGAAGAAUAAACACAUCCCCCGGCCCCCGCAGCCUGGCUCACCCAACUACUGCAAGCCCGACCCACCCCCACCGCCCCCGCCCCACCCUCACCAUGGCAGUGGCGGUAUCAGCCCCCCGCCACCCAUCACCCCGCCCUCCAUGGGGGUGACUAUGGCUGGGGCCUACCCACCCGGGCCCCACACGCACCCCGGGCUGCUCAGGGGGGGAGCGGGUGGGCUCGGGAUCAUGGGGCUGCCCCCUCUGCCAGCCCCUGGGGAGCCUUGCCCAUUGGCUCAGGAGGAAGUAAUUGAGAUCAACCGAGCAGAUCCCCGCCCCAACGGGGACCCAGCAGCAGCUGCGCUCGCGCAUGAGGACUGCCCGGCCAUCGACCAGCCCGCCAUGUCCCCGGAAGACAAGAGCCCCAUCACCCCCGGGAGCCGGGGCCGCUACAGCCGGGACCGAGCCUGCUUCCUCCUCACUGACUACGCUCCCUCCCCUGACGGCUCCAUCCGGAAAGCUCUUGUCACCGCCUGAGGCCUCGCGAGACUCUCGGUCCCCCCCUGCCCCUUCCCCCCAGGUUAGCAAUGGGAAAUGGCUGGGAAGGGGUGUCCCCAAGGUAGUGGGCUUCCAACCCCUCAGGCUCGCUCUCCUAUGGCCAAGACACUGUUGUCCAGACAGACCCCCUGGCUCCGCUUAGAAAAGCCCCUGACACUGGCAGAACUGUUAAGACACUGCUAAGCUUCCACAGAAACCACUCAUUGCGCCCGGAUCUUAGAUCCCUGUGGCUGUCCAGACACCGUUAGAACCUCCCCAUCAGAAGGCUCCCACUGAGGCUCCCUGGCCCCUGAAAGAGGCCCCACGUGACCUUCAGGUGAGCCUACACUCUCAGGCUGCCCUCUGAGCUACUCUCUGCCCCAUGGGCCCUGCGGGCUUCGGCUCCAUCCUUCAGCCCCUCACAGCGCCCCCUCUCCUUUCUCGACAUCUAGGUUACGAGAAAUCCCGCAGCCUGAGCAGCAUCGCGGGCCUGAGCGGGGUGUCUCUGCGCCUCGCGCCCCUUGCCACUCCCCCUGGCUCUCCCAGGGCCACCCGCCG
Phyllostomus discolor (pale spear-nosed bat) is the source of this 3277-nucleotide RNA transcript. It is a transcript of the gene named potassium voltage-gated channel subfamily C member 3, with no coding region annotated. The transcript has 5 exons. Lineage: Eukaryota; Metazoa; Chordata; Mammalia; Chiroptera; Phyllostomidae. The record is from RefSeq and is a predicted model, not a curated record.